Molecule: long non-coding RNA, 35623 nt
Filed under: Lathyrus oleraceus (garden pea)
Lineage: Eukaryota; Viridiplantae; Streptophyta; Magnoliopsida; Fabales; Fabaceae
Description: Pisum sativum (pea) long non-coding RNA (PSAT_LNC022331)
Source: RNAcentral
UGGUUAGCAUUGAUAUAUGGAGGUUUAAACUUCCUUGAUUAAAAUCUAAUUCAUCUUGAUCAUGGAUCAAGUGAAUGACUUUGCAUUAAGGAUAUGUUGCUUCCUAAUCAUGCAAAGAACCUAAAUCAAUACAAGAUCAUUUCUCAUCUUCUUUUUGGCAUGGCAAGUUGUAGGAGUUUGAUUCACUAAUCAAAAUCUCUAACUUAACAAGAUCAUUUCUCAUCUUCUUUUUGGCAUGGCAAGUUGUAGGAGUUUGAUUCACUAAUCAAAAUCUCUAACUUGUGUUGUUGCCUACAUUAUUAUUGACCGGCCUCAGAUAGUUGUGACUUCUACGUAAGUCCAAUUAUGAUUGCUUAACAUAGCGCUAAAUUGCCUUAUGGCACACUAACUUUAACACUAACCAUUAACCAUUAACAUUUAAUUCUUGCUCUUUACAUUUAUGCAAUUUACUAUUCUUGUACAUAUUAUUCAUUUUCUUUUUCCUUUGCUCAUUUGAGCACACGUUUAUGUUAAUGCAAUUUGCCUUUUGCUCACUUGAGCACAUAAUUGUGUAUAUAUUAUUAUUGUGCUUGUGUUUUGUUUUGAUUGUUGUGGACCAAAUGCAAAAAAUGGACAAAUGGACUUAGCUUCUAGGACAUUCCCUAUGCAAAAAUGGAGUAAAAAAGGCCUUAAUGUUGAAGAUGGAUUAGAAGGACCAAAUCUCUAAACUCACUCUUGUCCAUUCUUGAUUUGCUUCAUAGAACUUUUUGAUGUUGUGUGCUUUUGUUCUAGGGAAUCCUAUUUGAGCCAAAUUGAAGAACCAUUGCCAUGAUCAUCCAAAGUGAAAGAUACAAGAGCCAUUGGGGAUCUUCUAAGAGCUUGUUUGAUUAUGUUGAUUGCUUGAGCUUACACUUCUUUUGCUUGCAUAUUCCAAAGGAUGGGAGCUACUUGGAUCAUCAAUAUGAUCUCAAGAGAGGAACUCCAUUUGUGGUCUUGUUUCUUAUCCUUCAUCUCUUGUAUGAUUAGGAACUUAGCUAUUCUUCUUCUUCCCUCCACUCUAACACAAGCCAAAACUUUUUGUGCAAACAUUAACACUUCUUUUUAAACAUUAGAAACCUAAGCCUUAUGCUUUUGAUUUUCAAACUUUCUUUUCAUAACACUUAUUUUGAAUUGAAUCUUCAAGUCAACUUGGACCAUAUUUUGUAAAUACUUUCCAUUGGUAAAUAUAACUCAUUCAAAUAAUUUUGUGGUUUCAAUGGCCACUUUCUUAAUUAAAAACUCUUUCAUAACCUUUAACUAUUAGGUUUGAGUUAUCCUUGAGGUAGAUAUAAUACUCAUCUAUAUCCUUAGUGAUGGACAAUGAGUCUUCCAUGCUUAUUAUAGGGUUAACCCCUCACUAGCAUGUUAAAGCUAUCCUCACAUGGUGGAUUUGCGGUUUUAGGUUGAGUUUUCUCUCUUGGAUAACAAAAGACCUUAAGGCUUUUGGACCAAUCAAUUCACCGACUUGUUUUGAGAUUUUUACCCCGAACUACGAGGUUUUGAUCCUAAUCUUUUUUAAGAUGGUACGUAGGCAAUAGGUUUAUCCAUCCAAACACAAAUUGUAAAUAACUUGUAUAUUCUUCUCUCAUCUCUUCAAUCAUGUUUGCACAAACAAACUUUCACAAAAUACCAACCUUACAACAAGUGUGAAAAAGGCUCCCUAGGAGUACCUAGGAUGUUUUGGGUGCUUAAAACCUUCCCAUUGCAUAACCAACCCCCUUACCCUGAUCUCUGACAUUUUUACUAGUUUUUGAUUCGAUAAAACUUUUAGGUUUUUGUUCCCUUUCUAACCAUUCCUUUGGAUAAAUAGAAGAGCGAUGGCGACUCGACUUGUAUGGUUUACCUUGGAUUUAGUCAAUAUCUCUAAUGGUAACGAAUACCCCGCUACAGAAAAGUGGCGACUCUGCUGGGGACUUUCUUUGCCUAGUGGGUUUUGCCGACUUUUCACAUUUGUGUUGUAUUGUAUUGUAUAUUAUUUUGUGACAUAUUUUUGUGCAAUUUGGGAUUACUGUAUUGUAUGUAAUGAUUGAAUUGCUUGAAUAUUAAUUCCUUGUAUGCUUGGUGGAUCUUUGUGAGAUGAGUUCUAUACCCGAACUCGAGUGCACUUAGGAUAGGAGAAUGGCAUAGUCUUGUCAACUUGUGUGGAGUUAUUCCUUAGCAAGUUGACUUGCAAGCCCAUUCACUUGGUGGAGGUCAUGUUGGGAUCAAUAAUGUCACACGAGUAGUCGUGGUUAGGCAUUACUCUUUCAAAUAUAGACCUUAGAAGCCAAGGACCAUAGUUUACCAAGCCCAUCUUGGCCUAUUUUUAGGCGUAGUGCGAAAGUCGUUCAAGUGUAAGAUUUGAUACGAUUGUUACGCAAUACUACACUCAUAAGAGUCUCUCUUGAGAAGAUUUUUGGAAUAUGAGGAGUCGUUUAUCCGUAAUAUCCGAAAGAUGGGAUGAUGACUAUGGGAGCCUCUUGUAGAACAUGUUUGGCAGGUUUAAACCCUAGUACACUCCCUUUGGGUGGUUCUUAACCGAGACUCCAUGCUCGUGACUUGCAACAAACCCUUGAUUCAUGGUUGAUCCGUUCUUGUGCAUCCUUAAUAUCAAUGGAACUUGGAUGUUGAUAAGGUGUAACCAUAAUCCCACCAAAAUGGAUGAUUGAUAUUAAGGAUGACAUGAUCCAUCCCAUGACCUUUGUUUGGUGUGCUUUGCUUGAUCCUUGAGUGUGAUUGUUGCAUUCAUGCAUUCAUGCACCCAUUUGCAUCCAUAUCAUCAAUAAUGAGAAAAUUUUCAAGGAACUUAGGAGGUCUAUUUGCAAAUUUUCAGACAUGGAAAUACAAAGAAGGAAUACAAAGAAGUAUAGUUUCAGACAACCCGACUUGAAAGAGCUAAGGAAUUUGACAUCCUAUGUAUUAGAUCCCUUGGGUUUCAAGGCUCGUUAUGGGAACAUCCGAUCCUUCAAUGAUCUUGGCGAGGCCUUCGUCAAGAAAUACAAGUAUAACGUGGACAUGGCUCCCGAUAGGGAUCAAUUGAGGGCCAUGUCCCAGAAGGAUAAGGAAACUUUCAAAGAGUACGCCUAGAGGUGGCGAGAGUUAGCAACACAGAUUGUGCCUCUACUGGAGGAGAAAGAAAUGACCAAGAUCUUCUUGAAGACCUUGAGCUCAUUUUACUACGAGCGGAUGAUUGCCAGCGCUCCUUCUGAUUUCACCGAGAUGGUGAACAUGGGGAUGCGUCUAGAGGAAGGAGUCAGGGAAGGGCGCUUGACCAGAGAAGAAAGCUCUUCUACCAAACGAUAUGGGGUGUUUGGAAAGAAGAAAGAUGGCGAGGCACAUGCUGUGACCUCCCAUGUUAAAUCAAGAAGACCCUCAGUGAGAAGGAAGAUCGUGCGUCCUUCCGGUAACCAGCAUCAGGUGGCUCACAUAACACCUAUUUUCAGUGAUAACCAGCAACAACAACAUCAACAAUAUCAACAACAACAACACCGUCCUCAACAGCAGGCCUACCAGCCUCGAAACAACAAUCAAGCCAGUACAAGCUAUGAGAGGAAGAGGGUCACCUUCGAUCCUAUUCCUAUGACCUAUGUAGAAUUGUAUCCCUCUUUGAUAGAGAGGAAAUUGAUUACUCCACGAGACCCCCCAACUAUACCUACCAACCCUCAGUGGUGGUAUAAGCCCGAGCUACAAUGUGUUUAUCAUUCCGGUGCUCCCGAACAUGACGUGGAAAACUGUUACCCACUGAAGACCAAGGUUCAAGACCUUGGGAGAUGUGGUAUCUUGUGUUUCGAGGACGUAGGUCCCAAUGUGAAGAAGAACCCAUUGCCCGAGCAUGGGAAAUCCUCUGUCAACAUGGUCCAGGGCUGCCCUGGUAAAUAUAAAGUCAAAUAUGUCAGCCAUAUUCGACAAUCUUUGGUUGAGAUGCACAGACUGUUAUGUGAGUACAGUCAUUAUGAGCAUAACCAUGACAGAUGCCGAGUUUGUACUGUCAAUCAGAGAGGAUAUCGCCAAGUCCGUAAAGGCAUCUAAGAAAUGCUGGAUGAAGGAGUAAUUGAGAUACUUCAAAAUCGAAAUGUUGAUGAUGAUGAUGAAGUCAAUGUAAUAUCUUCGGUAUUUCGGAUCCCUGAGCCUGUUGUCAUUCGGUACGAUGACAGCAAGCAGAAGGCUUCUCCCUCUUUGAUUAUUAAACCAAUUGGUCCUGUGCCAUACUCUUCUGAUAAAGUGGUCCCCUAUCACUACAAUGCUGUGGCAUUGGAGGAUGGGAAGGAGGUGCCCCUACCAUCUACUUCUGUUGUUAAUAUUGCCGAUGUUAGCGGCCUGACCCGUAGCGGUCGUGUUUUCUCGGCUCCGCCGAAACCCCAAGCUGAUGUCUGAAGAGCCGAUGUUGUUGAUUAUGCUGAACGCCCGAUUGGGAAUGCUGUUAGUUCUCUGAAUCCGGCACUUGUUGCCAAUAAACCUGCCUCCGUUGUAAGAGCUCCUGUCUUUGUUGGCCAGAGUGGCACCGUGAAAGAAGACUGUGAUGAGAUGCUGAGGCUCAUCAAGAGGAGUGAAUACAACAUUAUAGAUCAACUUCUACAGACACCAUCAAAGAUCUUUGUGUUAUCUUUGUUGAUGAAUUCAGAACCACACCGUGAAGCUCUGCAGAAGGUGUUGGAUGUGGCGUAUGUAGAUCAUGACGUCACAAUAGAACAAUUUGAUAGUAUUGUUGCAAACAUCACCGCUUGUAAUAAUUUGAGUUUUUGUGAUGCUGAUCUCCCCGGGGAGGGAAGAGACCACAAUUUGGCACUACACAUAUCCAUGAGUUGUAAGGAUGAUGCCAUGUCCAAUGUGCUGGUGGACACUGGAUCAAUCCUGAAUGUGUUGCCAAAAUCCACUCUCGCUAGAUUGUCAUAUCAGGGCCUCCCAUGAGGCAGAGUGGAGUAGUGGUUAAAGCUUUUGAUGGGUCCCACAAAAUUGUGAUUGGAGAGGUUGAACUCCCAGUCAAAAUCGGACCAAGUGAUUUCCAGAUCACUUUUCAGGUCAUGGAUAUUCACCCAUCAUAUAGCUGUCUGUUGGGAAGACCAUGGAUUCACGAGGCAGGCGCCGUGACAUCCACCCUACACCAGAAACUGAAAUUUGUCAAAAACAAGAAGCUAGUGGUGGUAGGGGGAGAAAAGGAUCUUCUGGUUAGCCAUUUGUCUUCCUUUUCUUACAUAGAUGCUGAGGAUGAAAUUGGAACGCCGUUCCAAGCUUUAUCUAUUGCUGAGCCCACUAAGAAAGGAACUUCUUCAUUGGCGUCCUAUAAUGAUGCUAAGUUGGCCAUUGAGCAUGGUACAACUACUGGAUUGGGGCAAAUGAUUAAGCUGGAAGACAACAAAUCCCGGGCUGGCAUAAGGUAUUCUUCUGGCGCUUUCAAUAAGCAUGGGCUGUUUAAGAGUGGUGGAUUCAUCCACACUGUUCAAGACGAGGAAGUUGCUGCUAUUGUGGAAGAGGAAUGCAGAGGAAGAUUCUGGCAACUUUGUCAUCCCUGGAGGGGUCUGUAAUAAUUGGGUCGCUGUUGAUGUUCUAACAGUUAUCCAUAAGUCAAAGUAAUGUUCAUUGUGUUUAAAAACCCUUCUCCCAUGCCAAAAGGAGGAGCGAUGACAUUGUUGGCUCAUAAAUACAAUGAUAUUUUCAUUCAAUAAAUUCAUGUUAAAUGUUUGUUUUUCCAAUUAUUUUCACUUUUUGCUUUUUGCAUGAAAUUGGUGAUCACCAUAAAACCUUAAAAAACAGAAUAAAAUCAAUCUUUUCAUCUGCAUAAUGAUUUGCCUUGUUUGAAUUCUAAAAUCUCUUUAUAUCCAAAAUCAUUAUGCAGGUUGAUCAAACCCAUUGAACAUAAUGAUCCGACACCAUCUCCCAACUUUGAGUCCCCUGUAUUUGAGGCGGAAGAAGAUGAUGUUGAAGAGAUUCCUGACGAGAUCACCCUUCUACUUGAGCACGAAGAAAAUAUCAUUCAGCCGCAUCUUGAGAAUCUGGAAACAGUCAACUUGGGGUCUGAGGAUUGUGUGUGAGAAGUAAAGAUUGGGGCACUCCUGGAAGAAUCUGUUAAGAAGGGGUUGAUUGAGUUGCUACGAGAAUACGUCGACUUCUUUGCCUGGUCAUAUGAAGACAUGCCUGGUCUGGAUACUGAUAUCAUACAACAUUUCUUGCCUUUAAAGCCUGAGUGCGUGCCUGUGAAGUAGAAGCUCAGAAGAACUCAUCCCGAUAUGGAAGUGAAGAUCAAAGAGGAAGUUCAGAAGCAAAUUGAUGCGAGGUUUCUGGUGACUUCUACAUAUCCUCAAUGGGUGGCCAAUAUUGUGCCCGUGCCUAAGAAAGAAGGAAAAGUCCAAAUGUGUGUGGACUAUAGAGACUUGAAUAAAGCUAGUCAGAAAGAUGAUUUUCCUCUACCACACAUUGAUAUGUUGGUAGAUAAUACAACUAAAUUCAAUGUCUUCUCGUUUAUGGACGGAUUUUCCGGAUAUAACCAGAUUAAGAUGGCACCCGCUACACUUAACAAUUUCUCUUAAGUGUGCAGGAUUCUAAGUUAAAAUGACUCUGAUAAGUCAUCUUCUGAUCUUCAAGAAAUGAAUAUAUGGCAUCUGAUUAGCCCAGAAAAGCUGACCCAACACAAAGAGAAAUUAGAUCUGAAUAUAAACAGAAUGCAUCUGAAGAGCAAUCAACUGAAGAAUCUGACUCUGAAGUUCAAGCUCUGAAUCUGAAGACUACAAGAGAUAUCUGAAGCCUGCAAGAGAUAUUUGAAGACUCUACAAGAGAUAUCUGAAGACUGCACUAAAUAUCUAGAGACUCUAGCUCUGAAGACUCUGAUCAUGCUCACUCUGACACAUGCUUAACACACAAUCAAAUAUCACCUAAUCAAAAACUUACGCUAAAAGUAUUUAAAUUGGAGUAUAAUUCCUUUUAAGGAAACAAUGGAUUACGCUCGAAGAAUGCUAUGGAAAGGAUAAGAAAUUUACUACCUUUAACUCCCACAGCUGGCACGAAAUCUCCAUUGAUUUCCCCCCAACGGUAUCAUUUCAAGUACUAUAUAAAAGCCUCCUUACAACUUGCUAAAGACAACUUUUGACACAACAACAUUCUCAUACUCCAAAUAUUUUCACUAUCAUUUUUGUAAGAAAUAGUUUCCAUACAAGAGUUGUUGCUCAAUAUUAUGUGGAUGGGUUUCAUCGUUCUUAAAGUGUGUUUAUACUACUUAUCUAGAAGCAUCUAGUCAAACACUUGUAUUCCUAAAAUUGUUUGUAAUUCCUCAAGUGACUUGUUUAAGUCUGUAGACUUGAUAGGUCUAAGAGGUUUUUGAACUCUUAGACGUAUUUUGUAAUCUGUUGAGAUUAGUGGAUUAAGUCCUUAUUGAAGGGGAAAUCACCUUGGCCGGGUGGACUGGAGUAGCUUUGAAUUUCAAGCGAACCAGGAAAAAUUCUUUGUGUUGUUAGUAUUUUUUGUGUGUGUGUGGUGUUGCAAAAAUUUAUAAUUCCUAUGAAAAGAAUUGAAACCCCCUUUCUUGGUUUUCUCUACCUUGAAUUAGUAUCAGAGCUUCGGAUCUAUUAUUGAUUUUUGAAUCAAACACUUAACCGUGUAGAGAGACCCAUGGUGAGAUAAACUUCAUGGAUAACACAAACGAAAGAGAUAAAUACAACACAAAACCUCCAGUCUUUGAUGGAGAAAAAUUUGACUACUGGAAGGACAAAAUUGAAAGUUUCUUCCUAGCUACGAUGCUGAUCUCUGGGAUAUGGUUACAAAUGGUUAUGAACCACACAUCUUUGCAAUUGAUAUUUUUAUUCCAAGAAGAAGAAUGAGUGACGAUCAGAAGCUUGAUUUCAAGAAUCAUCAUAAAGCAAGAACCAUUUUUUUAAAUGUUAUUUCCUACAACGAGUACAAGAAGAUAACCAACAGGAAACAACCAAAUAUAUUUUUGAAUAUUUGAAAAUGACGCACGAAGGUAACAAUCAAGUUACAGAGACUAAGGCUCUGGCCUUAAUACAGAAGUAUGAAGCCUUCAGAAUGGAAGAUGAUGAAGCUAUUGAAGUAAUGUUCUCAAGGUUCCAAACCUUGGUUGCAUGACUCAAAGUUCUGGACAAAGAAUAUACUACAUCAUAUCAGGUCAAGAAGAUAAUCAGAAGUCUUCCUAAGAAGUUGAGACCUAUGGUUACUUCUUUGAAGUUAUCCAAGGAAUUGAACAACAUAAGUAUUGAAGAACUUAUCAUCUCCUUCAUAAGUCAUGAAAUAGAGCUUGAAGAAUAUGAACCUCAGAAGAAAAGGAAAUUCAUUGCUCUAAAGUCUAGAUCAGAAAGAAGAAAUCCAGAAAGGAACAAAGCCUUUCAAGAUGAAGAGAAAGAAGCUGAUGACUCUAAGAAUGAAGAUUCUGAUGAUAAAGAAGAAUUGUCUCUUCUUUCUAGAAGAAUCAAACAGCUCUAGAGAAAAAGACAAAACAACUUCAGAAGGUCCAGAAAGAAGGGAGAUCAUCUAGAUUCAACCUCUAGAGGCAGACCCAAUAAGGAAGUAACAUGUUAUGAAUGCAAAGAGUCUGGACACUACAGAAAUGAAUGUCCAAAGCUAAAGAAGGAUAGCUCCAGAAAGGAAAGGUUCAAGAAGAACUCAUUCAAAUCAAAGAAGAAAAGACUCAUGGAAACAUAGGACGACUCUGAAUUUGAAGCUUCAGAACCUGAUUCUGAAGAGGAGAAAGAAAAUGUAGCAUUCAUGGCCACUACCUCUGGAAGUUCAUCUGAAACAGAGUCUGACUCUGAAGAGGUAUUCUCUAACUUUUCUCGUUCUGAUCUGGAAGCCUGUUUGUCGGAAUCUUUAAGCUUGUAUCAUAAGCUUCGACAGAAAUUCAAGAACUUGAAAAAGGUUCAUGAAGAGACUAUUGAAGAGUGUGAUAAGCUUGAGAAAGAAGUUUCUGAACUCAAAGAAAAUAAUUUUAUUCUUUAAAUAGAAAAGUAAUUUUCAACUAAGAAUUGUUCGGAACUUGAGGAAACUCUUUCUAAAGCUCCACCUACUUCUGACUCUAUCAUAUACAAAUAUGAUAAAGCUUUUCAUAAAUUUCGGAACAACAACCUAGAAAGAAGCAAAAUGGAUUAUAUGAUCUAUGGUGUAAGUCAUAAUAGAAAAGGAGGAAUUGGUUAUGACUUUGAUGACGAUGAUAAAAAACCUUCUAUAGAAAACAAACCAAAAUCUCCUUUCUCUUACCAUUAUACACCUGCACAGACACAAAAGUUUAGUAACGCUAGAAAACCCAAUGUUUUAAAAAACUCUGGGAAAACUAAUCCUAAAGGACCCAAAAGAUUCUGGAUAACAAAAGAUAAAAUAGUGUAUGUUAUAGAUAUCCUUUGCAGUAGAGUUAAAACACUAGUCAUGGUACCUGGACUCUGGAUGCUCGUGACACAUGACGGGAAGAAAUCAUUUGUUCCAAGACCUGGGACUUAAAGGUGCUGGUUUCAUAGACUUUGGAGUAAAUCAGAAAGGAAGAAUCAGAGUAUCUGGAACAGUUGGUCACAUAUCUCUCCCCUCUAUUUUUGAUGUUCUUUAUGUUGAGGGAUUAAUGCAUAAUUUGUUAUCCAUAAGUCCAUUAAGUGAUAAUAGUUAUGAUAUUACUUUUAAUCAAAAAAUGUGCAAGGCUAUCAGUGAGAAAAAUGGCACAGUCCUUUUCACUAGGAAGGGGAAAACAACAUUUAUAAAAUAAAACUUUCAGAUUUGAAAAACCAAAACGUGAAAUGCUUGAUGUCUGUUAAUGAAGAGCAAUGGGUGUGGCAUAGACGCUUUAAUUUCUCAUCCAAAACCAUAAUCAAUGAGACUAAUGUGGCUAAGCACUUCUGGGAAGAAGCUAUGAAUACAACAUGUUACAUUUAGAAUAAAAUGUCUAUCAGACCUAUUCUGAAGAAGACUCCUUAUGAACAGUGUGUAGCUGUAAAUUCAUGACCAUCAAGCUAUGGAUAAGCUUGGUGUUAAUGAAACUAGAGUCGCCACCGCGCUUUUAUUGUUUCCAAAGGAAAAGGGAAAAGUACGAACAAAACCCAAAGAUAAGAAGUUUUCAAAUCAAAACUAAUAAAAUGCCAGAGAUUACAGGUAAGAGGGUUGGUUACAGUCGCCACCGCGCUUUUAUUGUUUCCAAAGGAAAAGGGAAAAGUACGAACAAAACCCAAAGAUAAGAAGUUUUCAAAUCAAAACUAAUAAAAUGCCAGAGAUUACAGGUAAGAGGGUUGGUUACACAAAGGGAAGGUGUUAGCACCCAAAGUGUCCUAGGUACUCCUAGGUGUAAGACCCUAAUUUUGACUCUAAGAUCCCUCAUGGCAUCAUAUCUGUUGAUAUUUGUAAAUGUAAUAUUAAGAAUAUUUGUAUAUCGAAUAGUCCCACAUCGACUAUAUCAUGUAAUUAGUUAUAAUCUCUCUAUAUAAAAGAAAGUCUCCGUAGUGCUUUUCAAGACACACGGUUUAUUCAAAUGUCUCUUAGUCUCCGAAUUCAACAUUGUAUCUAGAGCCUGCUAAGAGACAAUUCUUUCUUCGCCGUACUUUACCCGGUUGACCCACUGUCUUCCGGUGAGAAUUUUUUUACAAACCGUGUCAUCACUCCGGUUUGCUUCUCACUUUUCAAAAUUCUCCGGUAACCUACCAGCAGAAGCGCCUCUUCCGAUCCAGCCGUUCCCCACUUUUCAUCGGCAGAAACCUCCGCACGUGAUAGCACGUCUGACGGCCGAUCCCGACAAUUUUUCCACCGCUCCACUCUACAUAGGGCAAUUGUUUCAGAUCCGAUACUCAUGGCUACUCCUCAUAAAUUUACGCCAAACCACGAUGAUUUCCUCAGGUGGUAUCAGAAUUAUCAGAACUUAGAUUCUACUGCUUCGGUAGCACACACUGGUAAUUCAUCUGCUUGUCUCUCUCAAUCAUCUUCUCUUGAAUCUUGGGUCCUUGAUUCUGGUGCGUCUGAUCAUGUUACCGGUAAUAAAAAUCUUUUCUCUUCCCUCUCUACAUCCGGUUUCUUACCUACUAUAACUUCUGCCAAUGGUUCUCAAACUCGAUCCAAAGGGAUUGGUACUGUUCGAAUUCUACCUUCUCUCUCGGUUACUUCUGUCCUCUAUGUACCUAAUUGUCCUUUUAAUUUACUUUUAGUCAGUCGUUUAACUCGUUCACUUGAUUGUAGUCACUACGCCAAAUAAGGGAAAAGAGGGUGCUUAUUUUGGCCUAUAACAGUGCUUUUAAGCGCCCUCUAAAGUGGCGCUGGCAUAGGUAAAGACAGCGCUUUGUUUUCCUGGAGAAAACACUCUCUAAAGUGGCCCUUUAAGGGCCACAUUAUAGUGCGCUUUCAGAAAAAAGCGCCCUCUGGAGUGGUCCAUAAAGGGCCACCUUAGAGGGCGCUUUCUGGACAAAGCGCCCUCUAAAGUUGUCAAUGUAAAGUGUUUAGAGGGCGCUUCUACAGAAAGCGCCCUCUAAAGUGUUAGUUAUUUAAAAAAAUUUGUUUGAAAAAUAGUGGGUAUUUAAUUGGGAACCUGUUCGCAUGCUGCAAAAGUGUAAAAUUCAUAUUGAUUUCAUCCUUUAAUCCAAUGUUAUACACCAUUAAUCCAUUGAUAUAUACAACAUGAAUCCAUUUAUAUACAACAUUAAUCCUCCAUAUAUACAACAUUAAUAUAUUGAUAUUCAGCAUGUACAACAACAUUCCAUACAUAUAUGUAUAACAACUACAACCUAUAUGAUUCUAUGAUCAAUAAUGAAUUGACACAAUUCAUCCUUCAUUUCAUCCAAAUGAGCUCUUGAGUAAGAUUUGUAUUCGUCAAAGUACUACAAUUAAGAGAAUAAAACAUAUUCAUGAUUUAAUAACAAAUUAGAUGAAUAUCCGUAAUAUUAAAAUAAACCCUAAGUUAUUAUUCCAUACCAUUUUUGGGAUGUCUAUACGAUUCAACGCAAUGAUAUCUUCAUAAAUCUCAAUACAAAAAAUCCGCAAUCGAUCGAAUUGUUUUGCUGAGGACACUACACAGAAAAACAAACAAAACAACAAACAAACAAUAUAUAUAUAUAUAUAUAUAUAUAUAUAUUAAUAUAUAUAUAUAUAUAUAUAUAUAUAUAAUAUAGUUAAUUUCUUACAAACACUAUUAUAAGCAAAAAACAAACACUAUUAUAAGCAAAAUAAGAAACUUAAUAUAUACCUGAACUCUGACCCAGGUAAGUCCUUCCUAUUACGAUAAUUCUUUUUCGAUCUAAAUUUUAGUAUUGCCCCUAAACAAAAUAAAAACGUAUAUUGAGAUCAAUCUGACAGACAUAAUUAAAUAUACAAAUACACACGAAUAUUUAGGGGAAUUUCCUUACGCGUCAACCGUCUUCUUCAUACUCGGAUAUUACUCCAAUCAUCCGGUAACGAAUCGAGAUAAUACACCAUAGUUCUCGAAAGAUCCAUAGCAACCAACACCAGUGACCACUGUAAAAUAAAACAAAAAUUUAGAUGCAUGAAAUUUCUACGUAAAAGAUUACAUAGAUUAGAAUGAAAUUAUUAGAAAGAAAAUCUAACCCGUUGCCAGAACUAAACGGUAAAAAAUACAAACUGGGUGUAGUAUUAUCGCCGGCCCCAUGAAUCUAUCGACUAGUUCAUUCAUUACAGAUGUUGGUUUUUCGUUAUAACGUUGUGUUUGAUACGGAGCAGCAAUAAAAUUGAAUCGGUUACACAAUUCAGUCCCGCAUCAAUGUGUCAUACAUAUACCUUAAAUAGAAACAUAAUAAACAUUAGACUACUCAUUGAAUGUGUAAAUAAUAUGUUCAACUAAGUAAAUAAUAGAUUAAUCGGAGUACCAUAUGUAUGUAUGAAUGACAGCGAUGCCCAAUUCUUCGUGUUCAAAAAGUUGUUGCAUGUCCUCCUUUGCAAUUAAUUCGGAAUGAGCAAUUCCGAAAACACCUUCAUCCAUAUCUACACUACGGAUGGGCGCCGUGCAUAAUAUCUGACUCUUCCACCAUUUUCUAAGACGCAUCAUAAUUGAGAUUUUGUCCCGGACGUCGUUGGAAUUUCCUUACUAGCUUUGUCCAACAUUUGACCGGGAACUAAAAAUAUAAAUUAAAUCAUGACUUUUUGUGAUGCAACAGAAUCGUUGUGUAUAAAUUCAAUGGGUAUAUAUAUUUGUACCUCUUUUGAGAUUUAGGAUUUGUUUUGUCCUGGACUUCGUUGGAAUAUCCUUACCAGAUUUUUUCAACAUUCGACCGGAACCUAAAAAUUCAUAUAAAUUAAAUCAUGACUUUUUGUGAUGCAACAGAAUCGUUGUGUAUAUAAUUCAAUGGGUAUAUAUAUUUGUACCUCUUUUUGAGAUUUAUGAUUUGUUUUUGUCCCGGACUUCGUUGGAAUAUCCUUACCAGCUUUUUUCAAACAUUCGACCGGGAACCUAAAAAUUCAUAUAAAUUAAAUCAUGACUUUUUGUGAUGCAACAUAAUCGUUGCGUAUAUAAUUCAAUGGGUAUAUAUAUUUGUACCUCUUUUGAGAUGCAACCGCUCGAUGCGUCUUGAAAUCCCUUUACCAGCUUUAUGUGUGGGUUCUUGUAGAGUCUAACAUUACCAUGUAUAAGGAUUGAUUAAAUAUCAUAAUUGUAGCUGAAUUGAAAUGUGAAUUAAAUAUUCAUAAUCAUUUAGAACAUAUAUACCUCGGCAUCUGGGAAAAUUAGAUCUGACGGCCAUCCAACAAAGGAUCCGACUGCAUCUCGCGUCAACGUUGUCUCUGAAACAACGUCAGGUAAUGGUAGAAGCGCGUCCGUAUCUAAUACAAGGUCAACCGAAACUUUCAUAUAUCCCACCGGGAGGGGAUUAUGGUGAAGUAAUUCACCCGAAGUGUUGUGCACUUUUCCCUUGCCAACUAUGCGAUAAGUUGGUGACGAUAGAUACAGCUGACAAGGUGUAAUGCCCUAAACAUAAUAAAAUAUGUAUUGUGUAACGUGUAUAUGUGUCAAGUAAAAAGUGCUAUUUUAAUUUCAUAAUAACAUAUAUAAUUACCUCGGGAAAUUUCGGUUGACAAUUGAUACUAGCUCGGUCACUAGUAUCUUUUGCCUCGGAACCGCGCUUUCCUCUCUAUACCUUGCAUUCUCCUUUUGCAGUUCGAGUACUUGUGCCCUUAACUCUGCCAAGGUCUCCAUCACCUCUUUGUUGGUAGGAUUUUUUGUUUUUGGUUUUUUAUAAAAUGACGACGGAGUCACACCAAAACCCUUACCCUCAAACGACCGGAAUACUUCAGGAACAUUUAGUACUCGACUAAGUAGGCUCCUGCAAUCCUGGACCUCGGUUGAAGGUAAGGUUUGGGAUAAAGUCUCCUGAAAUAUAUUAGAGGAGAUUAAAAAAUGAUAUAUGUCUAACAAAUUUUCGAUAUAAUUAAAGAAAUAAUGUUAUAUUAUACUUACACAUUCGUCAUAAUAUUUUGAACCACUUCAACGACAACCCCAUCUUCCCAACCCGAGCAGGCCUUCCACAAUACGUGCUCCGGAAGAGAUGUUGCGUCACUUUUCUCCUAGGCUAGCUACAACAUUGAAUCAGAUUAUAAGAUCAUCAAUUAUAACAUAUUGUGACAAUGUAUAAGCUCAUAGCAUUUGAAUAUACUCACAAUUCUUUGUUGUAACCGUGCAUAUCCCGUACGCCUUUUUUGUACGGAUGCGCGGGUUUUGAUGCCCUUUUCCGAUUUUUUGUCGCUUACUUCCUGGAUAAAAAGUUUAAGGCAUAUCAGAACCAAGUAAACUUAACAAUUGUAAUAAUACCAUAAUUAAUAGACAUUACAUGGAAUUUUUCGUUUCUUCAUUUGGCGACAAAGUUAUCCCAUUCUUCGGCUGAAAUAAUCUCCGCAUACUUCAUUGGCUGUUCUGCUUCAACAAAUUUUCCUUCCUCAUCCUUGAGAAAUUUGUUGGACAAAAAGGAUCGAAAUCCUCGGAGUCUUUUUCCGGCCAAUUGAACAAAUAUUUUUGCCGGCUUUCAUCGAUGUGAAAGGAUCUCUAAAAAACAUACACAUGGAGUGUGUUAUUAUAAGUAAUAUUAUAACAAUAUAUGGUCAACAAAUAGUCAACAAAAAAAACAUAUAACAAUAUAUGGUAAGUACCUGUAUCUCGGACCAUAUUUUUCUUUGCCAACCUUCAAUUCUGGACUUCUCCAAUUAUCACAUGUAAUCGGAAUAUGUUGUCGAACAAGGAAACCAUGUAACUUGCCAACAUUGAACCGUUAGGCUCAAUUAGUUGGUCUUCAACACUCCAAUGUACUUCGAAUUUUUCACCCUUGUCUCUUGCACGAAUGAUUGACUUCAUAACAGUCAAUCCUCGUUUGAUUUCAUUUUCAACAUUAUUACGUGAUCCACUCGCGUCAUGGGUAUCGUGUUGGUUACUAGCCAUUUUAUCUGUAAUAUAGAAAUGAUUCAUAAGACCCAAGUAAGACAAUGACCAUAUCGUGAAGCUACACAAAAAACACAUUCAUAUACCUUCCAUUUCUCUCAUGUACAGCAAUCUAAACUCUCUCUUUUUUUCAUCAUUAUUGAAUACAAACUCACACACACCUACUGCAUACAAAAGACCAAUGCAAACUUAUGGUGUUUGGAACAUGAACAAACUUGCAUCCAUAAUCAUCAAACUUCCAAGCAACAGCUCAAACACCACCCAAAUGACAUCAGUUUUCAAUCAGAAAUAAAACCUUACAUAACCAUACAACUACAACAUUCAGUGAUCAAAAACCAUACACAAAAAAUAACAAAAAAUAAUUUUCAACAAGGUGCUCAUAAACACCAUAUAGUGCUCGUUUGCCCUAAACAACAUUAAUCAACAUAAUGCACAAAAUGUAAAACUCAGUUUAGAAAAUGCCCUAAUCAAACACCUGAAAAUCAAACUAUUGAGAGAAAUACCUUCGGUGACGGUAACGAUGGAGAAGAAAGUGAAGCGACGGUGGACGCAGAUAACUCAUGUGAACGUGAACGCAGCAGCAGAAAAAGGUGACGACGACGACGACGGUGAGGGAGGGAGAAGAAUGGAGGACGAGGUAAUCGCAGUAGAGAGUAAUCGCAGUAGAGAGAAAACCCAGUUACGUAAACGAAUAGCAUAUAGCGAGGGAAAAUAAAGAGACAUGCAGUAUAUGUUAUAAUUUUAAUGUUUACUAAAGGGACCUUAGAGGGCGUUGUGUAAAAAGUUCCCUCUAAAGGGGGCUAAGAGGGCGCUUCUAAAAGCGCUCUCUAAGGCUUCCAAAAGCGCCUUAUAAACUGGAAUAGUACAUGGACUUAGAGACGGCUUUUUAAAGCGCCCUCUAAGGGUACCCUUAGAGGGCGCUUUCAUAAACGCGCCCUCUAUUGUGUCCUCCAUUUCCUCAUUAUUUUUCGCUUCACUUUGAGGGCGCUUUGUUACAAAAAGCGCCUCUUCUAAAGUGCACUGUCUAUUCCAGUUGUUCGCUCCUUAUUUUUUCUCUUCACUUUAGAGUGCGCUUUUGUAAUAAAGCGCCCUCUAAGGUGCGCUGUCUAUUCCAGUUUUUGGCGUAGUGAGUGUCUCCUUCAUUAAUAAUAAUGUUACCCUGCAGGAUCAGAGUUCGGGACGGACGAUUGGUGUCGGAUGUGAGUCUCAAGGCCUUUAUUACCUCUCAGUCUCAUCUUAGACAUGCUUAGCCAAAGAUUCUCCACUCACUAUCCAUGCUCAGUUAGGUCAUCCCAGUCUUUCCAAACUACAUAAGUUGGUGCCAAAUUUAUCGAAGGUAUCUAAUUUACAUUGUGAGUUGUGUCAGCUAUGGAAACACACCCGUGGUCAGUUUCCCAAUCGAGUCAAUAAACGAGCUUCGUCCCCUUUUGCUUUAGUUCAUACCGAUGUUUGGGGUCCCUCGCGUACUGUCUCUACUCUUGAGUCUAGGUAUUUUGUCACCUUUAUUGAUGAUUUUUCACGUUGCACGUGGUUAUUCUUAAUGAAGAAUAGAUCUGAAUUAUUUUCUAUUUUUGAACAUUCCAUCGAGAAAUAAAAACUCAAUUUGUGUGUCUAUUCGUACCUUAAGAAGUGACAAUGCCCAUGAAUAUUUACCAACAAUUUCAAAAUUCCAUGUCACGCAAUGGUAUUCUCCAUCAAACAUCUUGCCCUCACACACCUCAACAAAACGGGGUAGCCGAACGCAAAAAUCGGCAUCUUGUAGAAACCACUCGGACCCUACUUCUCGCAUGGAAUGUUCCACUUCGGUUUUGGGGGGAUGCUGUGCUAACGACAUGUUAUCUUAUAAAUCGCAUGCCCUCAUCUGUCCUUAACAAUAAAAUCCCUCAUUCAAUCCUUUUUCCCAAUUCCCCAUUUCACCCAAUUCCUCCCCGAGUCUUCGGAUCCACAUGUUUUGUACACAAUCUCUCUCCUGGUCUUGAUAAACUCUCAGCUCGAUCACUAAAGUGUGUCUUUCUUGGUUAUCAUCGAUCCCAAAAAGGUUAUCAUUGUUAUUCACAUACUCUAUAACGAUACCUAGUAUCGGCCGAUGUUACCUUCUUCGAGUCGGUUCCAUAUUUCGAGUUUAGUCAUGUAACUUCAUAACCCAUUCAAGAAAGUACUCCCACACCUUUUCCGGUAGUUAUUAAUGUCCCGCCUACCAUUAUCCCCCAUCAGUCUAGGGCUCCUGACCCACCCACUUCUCGACCACUUCAAACAUAUCAGCGUUGUCACCCAAUGCCUGUCGUCCCUGUCCCUGAGGUCAUACCUGUCCCUGAGGGCAUUGCAGACUCUCCUCCGACGCCUCCGCCAUCACCGGAUCUGAUCCUGCAACCUGAGUCUGAUCUUCCGAUUACCCUUCGAAAAGGUAUACGUCAAACACGAAAUCCUUCUCCACAUUAUAUUGAUUUAUGUUAUCAUCGUCUUUCCCCUUUGCAGUAUACUUGUUUGUCUUAUUUGUCUUCUGUUUCUAUUCCUAAAACUCCAUGUGAAGCAUUAUCUCACCCUGAGUGGAGGCAAGCAAUGAUUGAUGAAAUGUGUGCUCUUCAAAGCAGUGGUACCUGGGAACUAGUUCUUCUACCCCAUGGGAAAUCUUUAGUUGGUUGUUGUUGGAUUUAUACAGUGAAGGUUGGUCCAGAUGGUAAGAUUGAUCGAUUUAAAGCUCGCUUGGUAGCCAAAGGAUACACUCAGAUUUUUGGAUUGGAUUAUAGUGAUACCUUCUCCCCUAUAGCCAAGAUGGCAUCUGUUAGACUUCUUCUAGCCAUUUCAGCCAUUCGACAUUGGCCUCUUCAUCAACUUGACAUCAAAAAUGCUUUUUUACAUGGUGAUCUUGAAGAGGAAGUAUAUAUGGAGCAACCACCUGGAUUUGUUACUCAAGGGGAGUCAUCGAAUAUGGUGUGUAGGUUACACAGGUCUCUUUAUGGUCUUAAGCAAUCUCCGAGAGUUUGGUUCGGCAGAUUCAGCACUACAGUACAAUAAUUUGGUAUGGUUUGUAGUGAAGCUGACCAUUCUGUUUUUUAUCGUCACUCAGCCCAAGGGUGUAUUUAUCUUAUUGUGUAUGUAGAUGAUAUUGUCAUAACUGGUAGUGAUCAGCAGGGUAUACUCCAGUUAAAGAAACAUCUCUCAAAUCAAUUUCAGACAAAAGAUCUUGGUAAACUUCGUUAUUUCUUGGGUAUUGAGGUAGCCCAAUCUAUAGAUGGUUUAGUGAUUUCUCAACAGAAAUAUGCUAUGGAUAUUUUGGAAGAAACAGGUUUGUUGAAUGCUAAACCAGCUGAUACUCCUAUGGAUCCAAGUGUCAAACUACUACCCAAUCAGGGAGAGCCUCUAUCUGACUCAGGAAAGUAUAGAAGAUUGGUUGGAAAGUUGAAUUAUCUCACAGUCACUCGUCCAGACAUUUCUUUUGCAGAUAGUGUGGUAAGUCAGUUCUUAAACUCCCCUUGUCAGGAACACAUGGAUGAUGUUAUCUAGAUUCUGAGAUACAUCAAACGUGCUCCGGGAAAAGGUCUAGCGUAUGAAAAUUAAGGACAUACUCAGAUAGUUGGAUACUCCGAUGCUGAUUGGGCAGGGUCACCCAUUGAUAGACGAUCCACCUCUGGGUAUUGUGUACUUGUUGGAGGAAACCUUAUAUCCUGGAAAAGUAAGAAACAAUGCUGAUUGGGCAGGGUCACCCAUUGAUAGACGAUCCACCUCUGGGUAUUGUGUACUUGUUGGAGGAAACCUUAUAUCCUGGAAAAGUAAGAAACAAAACGUAGUUGCAAGAUCAAGCGCCGAGGCAAAGUAUAGGGUCAUGGCAAUGGCAACAAGUGAACUUAUUUGGUUAAAACAGUUGCUCAAGGAACUUCAAAUUGAAGAAGCAAGACCAAUGACACUUAUUUGUGAUAAUCAAGCCGCAUUGCACAUUGCUUCAAAUCUAGUCUUCCAUGAGAGGACCAAACAGAUUGAGAUAGACUGUCACUUUGUCAGAGAGAAAAUCGAAUCAGGUGACAUCGUUACAAACUUUGUCAACUCUAAUGAUCAAUUGGCAGACGUGUUUACAAAAUCUCUGCGAAGCCCUAGAACUAAUUAUAUAUAUGUAACAAGCUUGGUGCAUUUGACUUAUAUGCUCAAGCUUGAGGGGGAGUGUUGAUAUUUGUAAAUGUAAUAUUAAGAAUAUUUGUAUAUCGAAUAGUCCCACAUCGACUAUAUCAUGUAAUUAGUUAUAAUCUCUCUAUAUGAAAUAAAGUCUCCGUAGUGCUUUUCAAGACACACGGUUUAUUCAAAUGUCUCGUAGUCUCCUAAUUCAACAAUAUCAUUGCUCAUUGCAUUGCCUCAAGGAUCAUAGCAUGUGUGGCUCCUUAACCCUAGGGUUGAGACUUGUGUGAGUUGGUUUGAGACCACCAAGCAUGCUUGAAUUGUAUAUCAUUGCUUUUCUUAUUUUGUUUACUAACCAAAAGCACAAAAAUAUGUCACUAACCUCUUUUGUUUUGAAGCUCAAGUGAUCACAUGUGCCCUGACUCCUAGGAGGCUCCUAUGCUCAUUGAAAUGGCUAGAUGAAGAUGAAAGCAAGCAUGACAAUGGUUCCCAAAGCUCUCAAUCAUCAUAUAUGUCUCCCAAGCAUCUUAAUUUGCCAAUUUGAUCAAGAUAAACCAAAGGGCUUGAGGAUUGUUUCCCAAGGAAACCCUAAUUCAGCUGUGCAUUGAUUGUGCCUUGCUCAUGAAGCAACCUCAACCUAUGAUCAAAUUUAAUCAAGGGAAGUUCUUUAAUUCAUUAUUUUAUGCAUAUAUGAGCCUAUGUGAGUAUCCUCAAUCAUUCAUUCAAUGAAGCAACCUCAACCUAUGAUCAAAUUUAAUCAAGGGAAGUUCUUUAAUUCAUUAUUUUAUGCAUAUAUGAGCCUAUGUGAGUAUCCUCAAUCAUUCAUUCAUCAAGAUUUGAAGUUUGACCUUGAGAAGUUGACCAGUCAAGUCAUCUGACUAAAUUGUGAUCCACUAAGACCUAACUUUUGAUGUGUUUGUCAAAUGAAGAUGAUCCCAAGAGAAACAAUGUUCUUAAUAACCAUAUGAACAACUUUCAUGUUCAUCAAAAAUCCAUUUUAAACAUGGAAGGUCAUCAUUCAUUUCAAAACAUUAUAGGUCAUUUUGACUGAAACCCUAAUUUUGAGUCAACUUCCCAAGGACCUAUCUUCUUCAUUUUUCAUGAUUUUGAGGUGAGACAAAUUGUAUUGGAAAUCUUAAGAUGUUUAAUUCAAAUGUUAUGUUUGACAAAACCUCAUAAUCCUAAAAUAAGUACAUGUGAUAAUACAAAACAUUAUAGGUCACUUUGGACCAAAACCAUUGAACGUUGAAAAUAUCCAACUUCAAGUGACCAUAACUUUCUCAUCAAAAAUCAAAACGAUGGAACAUUUAAGUCCAAAUUGAUCAUCUUGAGAAGAUCUACAACUUUUAUGUUUAAAGUUUUUCCAUUUGAGGCUUGCAUCAUUGAAUCAGAAGGGCUAGAAGUUGGUCACUUUUGGAUUUUUUUUUCAAAGGGAACUUAUAUAUCUUUUGUACCUCAAACUUCAAGGCCAGUUUUCACAAAUUCCAAACUCCAAAUCGAUUUUUGUCCAACAUAGCUUUUGUUCCUUAUGUCAAGACCUUUCCAACCAUUACUCACACGCCUAUGUUUGGAUUUUAUAUGUGUGACUUUCAAAGAGGUGAACAUUUAGGCCCAAUUAUGCAUUUCACUUUGAAUCUUCAUGCACAAGCCAUUGCAGUUCAAAUUGCACGUCCAAUUCAAUUUGGUAUGAUCUCAGCUGGUGAUUACACUCAAGUUUGGGCCUCACAUGCGCCUGUACAGGCCCAUGCAUGGAGGACCCAAAGCUUCAUGCACACGAAUUCUACACUUGCUUGCUUGCAGCUCAACUAUAAAUACAAUGCCAUGCUCAUUCCAAAUUCAACCUUAAGGCAACUUGAAGCUCUGCAGAAAUCCAUACCCAACCUUACCAAAGGAAUUUUGAUUUUUAUUUUCUCAAUUCAAGCUUGAAUUUCAACAAAAUCAGUUGAUCUUCAAGACUUAUUCCUUAGCCUUGCAUUCAUAUCACAUCUCAAGAACAAAUUGGAAGCAAAAGUUGGAAGGAAUCGUGUUGAUCAAAGAUGCUCUCCAAAGGUGUAUGAUCCAACUGUUUGGGUCUGAAUCUCAUCAUAUAAUGUGAAUUGCUUGUGUUCAAAUGGUUUUCUGAAGUCCUCGUGCAAGAGGCAAGCCAAUGGUGGCUUUGAUUUCAUGUUUUAAAGCACUUCAGUUUACACACCUUGAAUUUCCAGCUCAGAUUUCUCACUUGAUAGAGAUCUUGAGGACAAUCCAAGGUUACAGGGGUGAUGUACAUCACCCCAGCUUCAUUUUGGUACCACGUUUGUGUAUUUUAGUUGAGGUUCAAAAACCUGCAACUGGUGGCCGGAGUUAGUUGAUCCACCGGAGAAGAUGGUAGUUUCCACCACCAUUCCCACGUGGAUCCUCCUGGGCCUUUGGAUCUCACUCACACGUUCUAAUCGUGGCCACGCUUUCUGUUUACUUUUUUUAAUUCAUGGUGUAACGCGUAUGACUAAUGACCAUGGUACGCGUGCGCUUCUGGACCGCUUGAUGUGUCCACGUCAAUUAAUGAACUCAAUCAAGCGCUUCCUGAUUUUUCUCUUUUUUCUAAUUUCUGUUUUAGUUUCUUUUAUUCCAUUUAUUUUCCAAAAAUUCAUAACUAUUUUAUUUGGAAUCAUAAAAAUAUGAGACCAACACUAAACUUUUUCUUGAAAAAUCUAGUUUCACAAUCUGAUUUUUAAUUAUUUUUGGGAUUCCAUUUAAUAUUUUUUGUGAAUUAUUUUGUUUUUAAUAGUUUUUUAAUUCAUUUUAACUACUUUUUGAUAUCCAAAAAUUCCAAAAAUAUUUUCCUAACACAUAUGGAUCAUGAUAAAUCUAUGAAAAAUAUUCUCAUCAAUUUCUUAAUUGGUUUGAGAUUUAUUUGAGAUUUUAAUUCAUUUGUGUUAUUUUUCUUUGUUUUUAAUUGUUUUAAAAUAGUUUCUGUUUUCAAAAAAUGUUAGGAAAAUUUGUCAAACCUUGUUUGACCAUUGUAGACUUAUGAUAAUUCAAUUGGACUUACCCAAGUUGAUUUGAAUUGAACUUGAAGUUUGACCUUAUUUUGUUCAUUUUAUUUUAUGCUUUUAUUUUACUUUCAAAAAUACCAAAAAAUAUGUUUGACUUUGUUGACCUCUAAACUUCAUUUCUCUUCUGUUUACCAUUGGUUGAUGAUGAUUCCAUUCACAUUUGAUCAUUGCGCUUUGAUUAUGUCAUUUGAAUUCUUCUCUUUUAUUCAUUCCAUUUCAUCUUCAUCUUCUUAUUUUUAUUUUGGCCAAUGAGUUAAUGAUUUGUGGUUAGUCUUGACAUAUGAGAGGCUUAACCUUCUUUGAUCCAAAUCAAAUUCAACUCGAUCAAAGAUCAAGUGAAUUGCUUUGUGUCAAAGAUAUGUUACUUCUUGGUCAAGCAAAAAACCUAAAGUCCAUACGAGGUUUUUCCUCCCUUUCUUUUGGCAUGGCAAGUUGUAGGAGUUUGGCUUACUAGUCAUGAUCUCUAACUUGUGUUUAUUUUCCUAUAGUUUUAUUGACCGACCUCAGAUUGGUGUGACUACUACAUUAGUCCACUUAAGAUUGCUUAACAUAGCGCUAAAUUGUCUUAUGACACACUAACAUUAACCAUUAACUACUAACUUUAAUUUGCGCAUUUAAUUCUUGCAAUUUACUUUAAUGCAAUUUACUUUCUUGCUCAUUUAUUCAUAUUGCCUUUUCCCUUUGCUCACUUGAGCUCAUAUUUUAUGUUUAUGUCAUUUUUCUUUUUCUCACUUGAGCUUAUUAUUGUAUAUAAAUAUAUUGUUGCUUUGUGUUUGUUUUGAGAUUGUUUGUGUGAACCCAAUGCAAAAAGGAGAAAGGACUUAGAAUUAUGACCUUACGUGUGCUUAAAGGAGUUCAAGAGCAACUAGGCCUCAUGCCUUUAGAAUGCUAAACUUGUUGAAGAGCAACUAGGCCUCAUCGGAAAUCUUACGAUUUAGAAUUUCAACUGAAGUUUCCUGGGGAUUAGUAAACUCAUUCUUUGUCCAUUUCUCUUAUUGUGUUGUGAACUUUUUGAUUGUUUGUUCUUGUGUGAUAGGGAUUCCAAUCUUGAGAUAGUAAGAAGGACCAUUGUCAUGAAUAGCCAAGUUAAGAGAGACAAGCCAAAUGGAGAUCCUAGGAGCUUGAAUUAAUAUUUGUUUGAUUGCUUGAGUUAAUUGCUAAAUCCAAAGGAAAGGAGCAUCUUGAAUCAUCUUUAUGAUCUCAAGAAAAGGAACUCCAAGGGUUUUAUAUCUUCUUUUAUCUUUGCAUGUUUAGGACUAGCCCUUCUCUUCUUCUCCUCACUCUAACCUAAGCCAAACUCAUUUUGUGCAAACUUUGACAUUGUUUUCAAACUAGAAACCUAGGCCUUAUGCCUUUGAUUUUUUCAAACUCUUUUCACUAAUACUUAUUUUGAAUGAACCUUAAGUCAACUUUGACUUCAUUUUGUGAAUACUUCUAAUUUGUAAAUACAACUUACUUCAAGUGAUUUUUGUGGUUCCAAUGGCCACAUUUGUUAAAACAUUUUUUCAUAAACAUUAGUCAUUAGGUUUGAGUUAUCAUAGUGGUUGAUGUAAAUCUCACCUUAUCUUUAGUGAUUGAACUAUAAGUCUUCCAUACUUAUUAUAGGGUGGAUCCCUCACUAGUAUGUUGAAGUUCUCCUCACAUGGUGGAUUGUUGGUUUAGGUUGUGUUUUCUCCCUUUGAUAACAAAAGACCUUAAGGCUUUUGGUCAAAUCAAUUCACCCAUAUUUUGAGAUUUUUACCCCGAACUACGAGGUUUUGAUCCUACCCUUGUGAUGGUACGUAGGCAAUGGGUUUAUCCAUUCAAACAACAAAAUUAGAAAUAAUAUGUAUAUUCUCUUCUCAUCUCCCUAAUCAUGUUUGCACAAAUAAUUUUCACAAAUACCAACCUACAAUACAUCUUUGCAAAAAGGGCUCCCUUAGAGUACUAAGGAUGUUUUGGGUGCUUAAAACCUUCCCAUUGCAUAACCAACCCCCUUACCCAGAUCUCUAACAUUUUUAUUAGUUUUUGAUUUGAUAAAACUUCUUACCUUGUUUCUGUUCGCUUUCUAACCUUUCAUUUGGAUAAAUAAAAGUGCGAUGGCGACUCGAAUUGUAUGCUUACUUUUGAUUUAGUCAAUAAAUCUAAAGGUAACGAAUCCCCCGCUACAGAAAAGUGGCGACUCUGCUGGGGAAGUUAUUCACCCUAGUGGGUUUAGCCUACUUUUUGCCUUUGUUGUAUUGUAUGUUUAUAUUUGUUUGUGACAUAUUUUUGUGCAAAUUUGGGAUGACUGUAUUGUUUGUAAUGUAUGAAUUGCUUGAUAUAUAUCAAUUGCUUGUGUGUUUGGUGGUCUCUUGUGAGAUGAGUUCUAUACCCGAAAUCGAGUGCACUUAUGAUAGGAGAAUGACAUAGUCUUGUUGACUUGUGUGGAGUUAUUCCUUAGCAAGUUGAUUUGCAAGCCCAUUGACUUGGUGGAGGUCUUAUUGGGAUCAAUAAUGUCACACGAGUAGUCGUGGUUAGGCAUUACUCUUUCCAAUAUAUACCUUAGAAGCCAAGGACCUUAGAUUACCUAGCCCAUCUUGGCCUAUUUUAGAGUCGUGGUUAGGCAUUACUCUUUCCAAUAUAUACCUUAGAAGCCAAGGACCUUAGAUUACCUAGCCCAUCUUGGCCUAUUUUAGGACGUAGUGCGAAGGUCGUUCAAGUGUAAGAUUUGAUAUGAUUUUUACGCGAUACUACACUCAUAAGAGUUUCUCUUGAGAAUAUUCUUGGAAUACGAGUAGUCGUUUUAUCCGAUAAUAUCCGAAAGAUGAGAUGAUGACUAUGGGGACCUUUUUAGAACAUGAUUGUCAGUUUUAACCAUAGUACACUCCUUUUGGGUGGUUCUUAACUGAGACUACAUGCUCGUGACUUGCAACAAACCCUUGAUUCACGGUUGAUCCGUUCUUGUAUAUCCUUUAUAUCAAUGGAACUUAGGUGUUGAUAAGGUGUAAACCAUAAUCCACCAAAAUGGAUGAUUGAUAUUGAGGAUGACUUGAUCCAUCCUGUGACCUUUGUAUGGUGUGACUUGCUUGAUCCUUGAGUAUGAUUGUUGCAUCCAUGCAUUCAUGCAUUCAUUUGCAUCCAUAUCAUCAACAAUGAGAAAAUUUCCAAGGAACUUAAGAGGUCUAUUUGCAAAUUUUCAGACAUGGAUAAGCAAAGAAGGAAUACGAAGAAGUACAAUUUCAGACAACCCGACUUGAAAGAGUUAAGGAGUUUGACAUCUUAUGUAUUAGAUCCCUUGGAGUUCAAAGCUCGCCAUGUGAAGCUUCUGUCUAUUCUUUCUACUCAGGUGGAUGAAGGUCUGAUGAGUGUGUUGGUGCAGUUCUACGAUCCUCUGAACCAUUGCUUCACUUUUCCCGAUUUCCAGCUUUUGCCUACACUUGAGGAGUAUGCCUAUCUUGUGGGUAUACCUAUCUUGGAUCAGUUGCCGCUCAGUGGCUUGGAGAGGGUGCCUUCUUCCCAAGAGAUUGUUGAUUUGCUUCACAUAGAUGUAUUUGAUAUUGGUGCUCAUAUGACUUCCAAAGGUGGAAUUCAAGGUCUCCCAUCUGAUUUUCUCAUUGCCUAAGCUACUUUGUUUGGGAAGGCCAUGAGUGAGGAUGCCUUUGAAGCCAUACUCGUGCUGCUCAUCUAUGGGCUAGUGUUAUUCCCCAACAUCGACAAUUUUGUGGAUGUGAACGCUAUUAGGAUUUUCUCUACUCUUAAUCCCAUUCCGACUCUGUUAGGUGACACUUAUUUCUCUUUGCACAUGAGGAAUGCAAAGGAUGGUGGUACCAUUGUGUGCUGUUUUCCUCUGUUGUACAAGUGGUUUAUUUCGCACUUGCCAUAGACGCUUUCCUUCAAGGAGAACAAAGGAUGUCUACGAUGGUCUACGAGACUUAUGUCUCUCACUAAUGAUGAUAUCUUUUGGUACAACCGUGUAUGAGAUGGUGUGCAGAUUAUUGACUCUUGUGGUGAAUUCUCCAAUGUGCCUCUUCUUGGUACAUGUGGUGGAAUUAACUACAACCCUAUUUUGGCUCGCCGUCAGCUUGGGUUCCCCCUUAAAGGAUAAACCUAACAACAUUCUGUUGGAAGGUGUGUUCUUUCAAGAGGGUAAAGAUCCCCAGAACUUGAAGGGCAGAAUGAUCCGCGCUUGGCGUAAGAUUCAUAGGAAGGGAAGGAAAGAGCUUGGUCCGAAGAAUUGUAUUGCUUUGGAACUUUACACCUCUUGGGUGAGAAGGAGAGCGAUUGAGUACCGCAUGCCCUAUGACUAUCCAAGACCUACCCCUAUGGUUAUGGCUGGGCCUUCAACCCUCCCUAACCAAGGAGUAGAGGAGUUGAGAGAUGAAGAUUGUUCGCGUGCUUGGGUUCGUGAGCGAGAAGAGCUACUUCAGCAACUCAGAGAUAAGUAUGUUGUGGUAGAAUUUAUAGAGCAUCAGGUUUUCGAUGAGUCUGAUGAUGUGGUUACUUCUCUUCUUCCUUAGUCAUCCAGGUUUUGGGAAAGGAGGUAUGAUCGACUCGCCAAGGAGAAGGCAGAUAUGGAGGCAGCUUAUGAGAGAGAGGUGAAGAGGCUUCGUGCAGCUUAUCUUCCGAUCUCGAGAGCUUUGGACGAUUGUUUCUUGGGCUCCAUAGGAUGUUUAUUCUCCUUUCCUCUUGUAUUGUAUUUGGUUACCAAGAUUGUACUUCUUCUUUGGUGUAAAUUUUUUUCCAAAUAUUAUUGCUAUGAGUAUUUCAUAUAUGUCUAAAAAGAUUAAUAUUUUCAAAUAUUUGCGAAUAGAUCUUUAUAAAGUUCCUCAAAUAAAAAUAAAUCAUAUGCACAAACAUUGCAUGCAUCAUAUGCACAAACUUUGCUAUUCAUUUAUUUUAAAGACAAGCUGACGCACCGGUAUAACACCAGAUCGAAUCUUCCGAAGCUGAUGGAUCAUCUAGAGCAAAAGAACCGUGAACUGAAAGAGGAGUUAGCUAGGCUGACUGCCAUGAUGGAGUCAGUGUUGGCUGCCCAGAGCCAAUCAUCUCCAACUCAUACAAAUCCUCCUGCGAGGACUGUCAUCUCAGAGGUAGCUUCCUCAAUUGUGCUUGCCGCAACAACUCACUUUGCGCCUACUAUGCCAGCCGGGUUCCCUUGGGGAAUGCCCGCCAACUUUGUGCCUGAGGGUAUUGCUCCGGUCCUUGCUGUGCCACCUGCCGUUGUGCACACCUUACCAAGAGUAGAAGACACCAUCUAUCAUUCUGAGCCAUCUAAGGGCCCAAAUGUUUAUGAGAAGAUGGACGCGAUGAACAAACAAUUCCUUGAGCUACACAAGGAACUGAAGACUCUGAGGGGUAAAGACCUCUUCGGUAAGAGUGCUGCUGAGUUGUGCCUUGUGCCCAACGUCAAGAUCCCUGUUAAGUUCAAAUUACCUGACUUUGAAAAGUACAAGGGAAACACUUUCCCUCUCAUCCAUCUUGUGAUGUAUGCUCGAAAGAUGUCAACACAGACUGAGAACGAUCAACUUCUCAUCCACUACUUCCAGGACAGCCUGUCCGGUGCUGCACUCAGAUGGUACAUGGGUCUGGAUAGUGCGAACAUCCGCUCCUUCAACGAUCUUGGCGAAGAUUUCGUCAAGAAAUCUAAGUACAAUGUUGAUAUGGCUCCUGAUAGGGACCAGCUGACGGAAAUGUCCUAGAAUGAUAAGGAGACGUUCAAAGAGUACGCCCAGAGAUGGCGUGAGUUGGCCGCUCAGAUUGUGCCACCCCUCGAGGAGAAAGAAAUGACCAAAAUCUUUUUGAAGACUUUGAGUUCUUUCUAUUAUGAGAGGAUGAUAGCUAGUGCUCCCUUGGACUUCACCGAAAUGGUGAAUAUGGGGAUGAGGCUAGAGGAAGGAGUCCGUGAAGGACGUCUAUCUAAGGAUGAAGGCUCUUAAGCAAAGCGUUAUGGGGGCUUUGCAAAGAAGAAAGAGGGAGAGGCACAUGAUGUGUCUUCCCAUAUCAAAAGAAGGCCCUCUGUGAAGAGGAAGACUGUUCUCCCUGUCGCCAGCCAACACCAGGUGGCUCAUAUAGCACCUGCCUUCAGAGAAGCUCAACAUUAUCAACAACAACAAUAACAUCAACAAUAUCAACAAGAGCAUCAUCCACAACAACAGGCCUACCAGCCUCGAAACAACAAUAACACCAGCACCAGCUACGAUAGGAAGAGGGUCACUUUUGAUCCAAUUCCAAUGACCUAUGCUGAAUUCUAUCUGUCUCUGAUAGAUAGAAAGUUAAUUACUCCACGUGAUCCUCCCGCUGUAUCGACCAACCCUCAGUGGUGGUACAAGCCUGAAUUACACUGCGUAUAUCAUUUCGGUGCUCCCGGACAUGAUGUGGAGAAUUGCUAUCCCCUGAAGACCAAGGUGCAAGACCUUGUUAGAAGUGGGAUUUUGUUUUUCGAGGACGUAGGUCCUAAUGUCAAGAAGAACCCAUUGCCCGAGCAAUGGAGAAUUGCUAUCCCCUGAAGACCAAGGUGCAAGACCUUGUUAGAAGUGGGAUUUUGUUUUUCGAGGACGUAGGUCCUAAUGUCAAGAAGAACCCAUUGCCCGAGCAUGGGAAAGCUGUUGUGAACAUGGUCCAUGGUUUCCCUGGUAAAUAGAAAGUCCUGUAUGUCAAUGAUAUCAGGCAAUCUUUGGUAGAGAUGCACAGACUGUUGUGUGGAUACAGUCAUUACGAGCAUGACCAUGACAGGUGCCAGGUGUGCACUGUCAAUGAAAAAGGAUGCCGCCAAGUUAGAAAGGACAUCCAAGAGAUGCUGGAUCAGGGAAUGAUCGAGAUACUUCAGAAUUGCAACGAGGAUGAAGUUGAUGUAAUAUCUCCUGUUUUCAGAAUACCAGAGCCUAUUGUCGUCAAAAGUGAUGGCACCAAGCCAGCGGGCCCUAUCUCGUAUUCCUCUGAUAAAGCAGUGCCAUACAGAUACAAUGCAGUUAUGGUAGAAGAUGGGAAGGAGGUGUCGUUGCCUUCCACCUCUGUUGUGAGUAUCUUAGAUGUUAUUGGUGUGACUCGUAGUGGUCGUGUUUUCUCGGCGCCGCUGAAGCCCCACGAAGAUGUCUUGAGAAGAACUGCUGCUGUUAAUCCUGCCGGUCCUCUAGGGACUUCUUCUUCGAAUCUGGCACUUGUUGUGAAGGUAAUUGACCCUGCCAUUGUUGAUAAAUCUGCUAAAGCUCCUGUCCUGGUUGGCCAGCAUGACAAUUUGAAAGAGGACUGUGAUGAGAUGCUGAGGCUCAUCAAGAAGAGUGAGUAUAAUGUUGUUGAUCAGCUGCUUCAAACUCCAUCAAAGAUAUCUGUAUUUUCUUUAUUGAUGAAUUUUGAGCCACACCGUGGAGCUUUGCAGAGGGUGUUGGACGUGUCAUACGUGGAUCAGGAUGUCACAAUUGAACAAAUUGAUAGCAUUGUUGCAAACAUAACUGCUUAUAACAGUAUGAGCUUUUGUGAUGCUGAUCUUUCCGAGGAGGGAAAAGACCACAAUUUGGCUCUACACAUUUCAAUGAAUUGCAAGGACGAUGCCUUGUCUAAUGUGUUGGUAGAAACAGGAUCAUCGCUGAAUGUGUUACCAAAAUCCACUCUAGCCAAACUUUCCUACCAAGGGCCUCCCAUGAGGCAGAGUGGAGUGGUUGUGAAAGCUUUUGAUGGAUCGAGGAAAACUGUGAUCGGUGAAGUUGAACUCCCGAUCAAGAUUGGACCUAGUGAUUUCCAGAUCACUUUUCAGGUCAUGGAUAUACAUCCAUCAUAUAGUUGUUUGCUUGGCAGACCUUGGAUUCACGAGGCAGGCGCCGUGACAUCCACCCUACACCAGAAGUUGAAGUUUGUUAAAAACAAAAAGUUGGUGGUCUAUCCCCCUCUCUUCCGAGAGAACCAAUCGGUAAAUAGAAGGAAUUCCUAUAUAGAUGCUGAGGAUGAGGUUGGGACUCCGUUCUAAGCCUUGUCUAUUGCUGAGCCUUCAAGGAAAGGACCUUCUUCAUUUUCUUCCUACAAUGAUGCGAAGUUGGCCAUUGAGCAUGGUGCAACUACUAGUUUAGGACAAAUGAUUAAGCUGGAAGAUAAUAAAUCCCGGGCUGGCAUAGGGUAUUCUUCAGGCAUUUCCAAUGAUCGUGGGAUGUUCCAGAGUGGAGGUUUCAUCCACACAGUUGAAGAUCAAGAGGCUGCUUCCAUAGUGGAAGAUGAUGAAGAGGAAGAUUCUGGCAACUUUGUCAUCCCUAGAGGAAUCUACAACAAUUGGGUCGCUGUUGAUGUUCCAAUAGAUAUCCACAAGUCCACGUAAUAUGUUCAUUUUGUUUAAAAACCCUUCUCCCAUGCCAAAAUAAGAAGUGAUGACAUUGUUGGCACAUAUUACUACAAUGAUAUUCAUUUAAUAAUUACAUGUUAAAUGUUUGUUUUUCCAAAAAAAAAUUCCUUUUUGCUUUUUGCAUGAAAUUGGUGAUCACCAUAAAACCCUAAAAAUAAAAUAAAAUCAAUCUUUUCAUCUGCAUAAUGAUUUGCCUUGCUUGAAUUCUGAAAUCUCUUUUAUAUCCAAAAUCAUUAUGCAGGUUGAUCAAACCCAUUGAACAUAAUGACCCAACACCAUCUCCCAACUUUGAGUUCCUUGUAUUUGAGGCAGAAGAAGAUGAUGUUGAAGAGAUUCCUGAUGAGAUUACCCGUCUGCUUGAGCACGAAGAGAAGAUCAUUCAGCCGCACAUUGAGAAUCUGGAAACAAUCAACUUGGGGUCUGAGGGUUGUGUGCGUGAGGUGAAGAUUGGGGCACUCCUUGAAGAGUCUGUGAAGAAGGGGUUGAUUGAGUUGCUACGAGAAUAUGUCAAUGUCUCCGCCUGGUCAUAUGAAGACAUGCCUGGUCUAGAUACUGAUAUCGUGCAACAUUUCCUGCCCUUGAAGCCUGAGUAUGUGCCUUUGAAGUAGAAGCUCAGAAGAACUCAUCCUGAUAUGGCAGUGAAGAUUAAAGAAGAAGUUCAUAAGCAAAUUGAUGCGGGGUUUCUGGUGACUUCUACAUAUCCUCAAUGGGUGGCCAAUAUUAUGCCUGUGCCUAAGAAAGAUGGAAAAGUCUGAAUGUGUAUGGACUACCGAGACUUGAAUAAAGCUAGUCCGAAAGAUGAUUUUCCUCUACCACACAUUGAUAUAUUGGUAGAUAAUACAGGUAAAUUCAAUCUCUUCUCAUUUAUGGAUGUAUUUUCCGGUUAUAACUAGAUUAAAAUGGCACCCGAGGAUAUGGAGAAGACAACAUUCACCACACCUUGGGGAACAGUCUGUUAUCGAGUGAUGCCCUUCGGUUUGAAGAACGCCGGAGCCAUGUAUCAACGAGCUAUGACUACCUUGUUUCAUGAUAUGAUGCACAAGGAGAUCGAGGUAUAUGUUGAUGAUAUGAUUGCGAAGUCAAAAAUGGAAGUUGAACAUGUAGAGCACUUGUUGAAGCUUUUUCAGCAUUUGAGGAAGUACAAACUUCGUCUGAAUCCGAACAAGUGUACAUUUGGAGUCCGUUCCGGCAAGUUAUUGGGCUUUAUUGCCAGUGAAAGAGGUAUUGAAGUUGAUCCUGCCAAGGUCAAAGCAAUACAAGAGAUGCCUGCACCCAAAACUGAAAAGCAAGUCUGAGGUUUUCUUGGCCGCUUGAAUUACAUUUCCAGAUUUAUAUCCCACAUGACUGACACAUGUGCGCCAAUAUUCAAGCUCCUCCGGAAAGAUCAGCAUCAUGAUUGGACCGAGGAUUUCCAGAAGGCCUUUGACAGUAUUAAAGAGUAUCUGUCUUUGCCUCCGAUUCUGUCUCCGCCUGUUGAAGGGAGACCAUUGAUUAUGUACUUGACUGUGCUUGAUGACUCCAUGGUGUAAGACCCUAAUUUUGACCCUAAGAUCCCUCAUGGCAUCAUAACAUUGCAUUUGCAUAGCCUCAAGGAUCAGAAGCAUCUUGGUUCCUUUUGCCUUUGGGUUGGGAUCUCUUGUGAGUGGUUUGAGAUCAACAAGCAUGCUGGAAUUGUAUAUCAUUGCUUUUCUCAUUUUAUUAACUCAAAAGCACAAAAAAACAUGUCACUAACAUCUCUUGUUUAUAGCUUGAGCAGUCACAAGGUCUAAAGGCUUCUAUGAGACCCUAUGUGCAAUGGUAUGGUCAAGAGGAGAUGAAAGCAAGCAUGGUAAUGGUUCCCAAAGCUCUCAUCCAUCAAAUAUGCCUCCCAAGUAUCUCAAUUCAUCAUUUUUAUCAAAGCAAGUCAAAGGGUUUGAGGCUUGUUUCCCAAGGAAACCCUAAUUCAUCUGUUGAUCAACUGUGACUUGCUCUUGAAGCAAUCUCAACCCAUGAUGAAAUACAAUCAAGGGAAGUUCUUUAAUUCAUCAUUUCAUGCAUAUUUGAACUCAUUUAAGUGUCCUCAAUCAUUAAUUCAUCAGGAUAUGAGUUGUGGACUUGAGAAGUUGAUCAGUCAAUUCAUCUGACUAUUUUGAAAUGCACUGAGACCUAACUUUUUAUGUGUUGGUCAAAUGGAGAUGACCCCAAGAGAAAAAAUGUUCUUAAGGACAAUAUGAACAAAUUUCAUGUUCUUCAUCAAAAUUUAUUUUGAGCUUGGAAGGUCAUCAUCCAUUCCAAGACAUUAUAGGUCAUUUUGACUGAAACCCUAAUUUUAGGUCAACUCCCAAGGACAUAACGCCUUCAUUUUUCAUGAUUUUCAGGUGAGACUUAAUGCAUUGGAAAGCUUAUUGUGUAUAAUUCAAAUGUUAUGUGAGCAAAUUUGCAAAAUCGCAAAAUAAAUACAUGUGAUAAUGCAAAACAUUAUAGGUCCUUUUAGGCAAAUGCAUUGAAAUGUGAAAAAGUCCAACUUCAAGUGCCCAUAACUUCUUCAUAAAAAAUCCAAAUGAUGCAAAAUUUAAGUCCAAAUUGAUUGUCUUGAAAAUAUAUACAACUUUCAUGUUGGAUAUUUUAUCAUUUGUAGCUGGCAUCAUUGAUACAUAAGGGCUUGAACAUUGGCCAAAUUUGGAAAUUUCACAUAUGCAUGUUUUGCACCCUACACUUCAAGUUCAAUUUUCAUUAAUUUACAAGGCUCAAAUGAAGUUUUGAUCAACAUGACACUUGUUCCUUAUGCAACAAGCUUUCCAACCAUUACUCAUAAGGUUGUAUUUUGAUUUUGGACAUGGCAUUUUCGAAGGCUUCAAUGAAAUAGUGCAUUUUAUGAAAAUCAUUCCAAUUGCCAUGCAUGAUCCAUUAAUACUCAAUCUGCAUGUUCAAUUCAUAUUUGGUGAUGUAUAGCUUGCAAUUCCAAUUAGAAUUGGGCCCUCCAUGCGCCUGUACAGGCCCAUGCAUGGAGGCCCUCUUCUCCCAGGCACACGAGUUUGAUGAUGCUUGCAGCUCCCUCCAUCUAUAAAUACAAUGCCUUGCCCUCUCAUUUCUUCAACCUUAAGGCGUCCUACAUGCUGUGCAACUGAAAUCCCACACCCACACCAAAGGAACAAUCUCAAUUUUCUCUCAAAUUUCAGAUCUGAAUUUUGAUUUCCUCGAUUGAAAUUUCAAAUCUAAAGUUCCUAGACCUCUUCACCUUGAUCCAUAGAGUUUUCUGUUUGCAAAAGAACUCAUAGAUCGUGACUCAAUUCUUCACAAUUCAAAGGUUUUAUUCAACUGCAUUUUGCUUUGAAACAGCUCAUAUAUUGUUCCAUUUGCCUUGAUUUUGUGUGAUCUGAAGUCCUCUGCAUAGAGGCAUCAUUAUUGAGCUUUGAAUUUUUGAAAUCGAGCAAGUUCAGUUGAACAUCAUUAAAAUUCAACCUCUGAUUUCUCUCUCAAUAGGAAUCUAGAGUGAAUUUGGUUGGUCUAGGAGUGAUCUACAACACUCCACCUUUCAUUUGGUACCUGGAUUGUGCAUUUUAGUUGAUGUCUUAAUCCCUGCAAAUUGUGACCUUCGCCGGAGCUAGCCGGAGAAGACGGUGGCGCUGGCCACCGUCUGGUCUCCAGAUUGGAUCUGAGCCGUCCAUCUCAGUUUCCAGAUCUAACCUCAUCCACACAAUGUUAUGACUUUUUAAUUGGUAGCGUGUUUUGCAUUGACUCACGUGUAUUGUGGAAGCGCACUCAGAAGCCGUGUGAUGUGUCAGCUCAAUUAAUGAGCCAUCAUUCAACGCUUCUCCUUUUUUCUUAUUUUUAUUUUCUGAUUUCUAUUUUCUUUUAUUUCUUUUAAAUCCAUUUUAUUUCUAAAAUUCAUAUCUCUUUCAUUAUUGGUCCAAAAAUUAUGGGACCAAUUGCAUUAUUUCUCUUUUAAUUUGUAGUUUCUAAAAAUGAUUUUUAAUAUUUUUUAUUUUAUCAUUUGCUAUUUUUCAUGAAUUUUCUCUUUUCUGGUUAUUUUUAAUUCAUUUUAAAUAGUUUUUGAUAUUCAAAAAAUACAAAAAUAUUUUCUCAACCUCUUUGAAUGAUGAUAGAUCUAUGAAAAAUAUUCUCAUCAAUUUAUAAUUGAUUUGAGAUUUAUUUGAGAUUUAGUUCAAUUAGGUUAUUUUAUGCAUUUUCAAUGAUUUAAAUAGUUUCUGACUUCUAAAAAUGCUGAAUUUUUUUGUCAAACUUUGUUUGACCUUGUUGAACUUGGGAUAAUUCACUUGGACUUUUCAAAGUUGAUUUGAAGUGAAUUUGAAGUUUGACCUUUCUUUAUUACUUUAAUUCAAGUUUUAUUUUAAAUAUUAAAAAUGCCAAAAAUAUUUUAGUUGUUUCUUAACUUCUAAUUCUCAUUUUGCUUAUGUUUUCUAUUGUUUGACCUUGAUCUUCUCUAUUUUUGGUCAAUGCUUGUUGAUUGAUACAUACCAUUUCCAUUAAUGCACUUUAAUUCUUCUUCUUCUUCUUCUUCUUUUUUUUUAUUUUUUAUCAAUGAGUUAAAGAUUGGUGGUUAGCAUUGAUUAUGGAAGUUUAAUCUUCCUUGAUUCAAAUCUAAUUCAUCUUGAUCAUGGAUCAAGUGAAUGGCUUUGCAUUAAGGAUAGAUUGCUUUUUAAAUCAUGCAAAGAACCUAAAUCAAUACAAGAUCAUUUCUCUUCUUCUUUUUGGCAUGGCAAGUUGUUGGAGUUUGAUUCACUAAUCAAGACCUCUAACUUGUGUUGUUGCCUACAUUAUUAUUGACCGGCCUCAGAUAAAGAUCAUUUCUCUUCUUCUUUUUGGCAUGGCAAGUUGUUGGAGUUUGAUUCACUAAUCAAGACCUCUAACUUGUGUUGUUGC